AAAAAUCCGCGAGAAGGUGGUGCAAGAAGAUGGCGGUGCUGGGGCAGAGUUUGCAAUCUUUCUGAAUAGGCUAGUCGAGUAACUAUUCGGGUCAUGGCGUCAAACUCAACUAAGUCUUUUCUGGCAGAUGCCGGCUAUGGCGAACAGGAGCUGGAUGCUAACUCUGCCCUUAUGGAAUUAGACAAAGGUCUAAGAUCUGGCAAACUUGGUGAACAGUGUGAAGCAGUUGUCCGCUUUCCCAGGCUCUUUCAAAAGUAUCCAUUCCCCAUUCUCAUCAAUUCCGCUUUCCUAAAGUUAGCUGAUGUUUUCAGAGUCGGAAACAAUUUCCUGAGGCUGUGUGUUCUUAAAGUUACUCAACAAAGUGAGAAGCAUUUGGAGAAGAUUCUAAAUGUGGAUGAAUUUGUGAAGAGGAUUUUCUCUGUGAUUCAUAGUAAUGAUCCUGUAGCAAGAGCCAUCACACUCCGGAUGUUGGGAAGUCUGGCAUCAAUAAUUCCUGAGAGGAAGAAUGCUCAUCAUAGUAUUCGUCAGAGUCUGGAUUCACAUGAUAACGUAGAAGUUGAAGCUGCUGUUUUUGCUGCUGCUAACUUCUCUGCACAGUCAAAGGAUUUUGCUGUAGGAAUCUGUAACAAAAUCAGUGAAAUGAUUCAAGGUCUAGCCACGCCAGUAGACUUGAAGCUGAAGUUGAUCCCUAUCCUGCAGCACAUGCACCAUGAUGCAAUAUUGGCGUCCAGUGCUCGUGAGCUCUUACAACAGCUAGUCACAUCCUAUCCUUCCAACAAAAUGGUGAUUGUUUCUUUGCACACCUUUACUCUGCUUGCAGCUUCAUCUUUGGUUGAUACGCCUAAGCAGAUUCAGCUUCUAUUGCAGUAUUUAAAGAAUGACCCCAGGAAAGCAGUAAAGAGACUUGCUAUUCAAGAUCUGAAAUUACUUGCCAGUAAAACACCACAUACUUGGAGUAGGGAAAACAUUCAGUCACUCUGUGAAUGUGCCCUCCAAACUCCUUAUGACAGCUUGAAACUUGGGAUGUUGUCUGUUCUUUCCACGCUGUCAGGGACCAUCGCCGUCAAACAUUACUUCAGCAUAGCUUCAGGAAAUGUGGGUUCUUCCCCUAGAUCCUCUGAUUUAGUCAAAUUAGCCCAAGAGUGCUGUUACCAUAAUAACAGGGGCAUUGCAGCUCAUGGAGUGAGAGUCCUAACUAAUAUUACUGUCUCCUGUCAAGAAAAAGACCUUUUGGCACUGGAACAAGAUGCUGUCUUUGGCCUGGAAUCCCUUCUGGUACUUUGUAGUGAAGAUGAUAGCCCAGGUGCUCAAGCCACUUUAAAGAUCGCUCUGAAUUGUAUGGUGAAGUUGGCCAAGGGUAGGCCCCAUCUCAGCCAGUCUGUAGUUGAGACCUUGUUGACUCAGUUGCACAGUGCUCAGGACGCUGCCCGGAUCCUGAUGUGCCACUGCCUGGCCGCCAUUGCCAUGCAGCUGCCUGUGUUGGGCGAUGGAAUGCUCGGGGACCUCAUGGAGCUCUACAAGGUGAUCGGACGAUCAGCCACAGACAAGCAACAAGAACUUCUGGUGAGCUUGGCCACUGUGAUUUUUGUAGCCAGUCAGAAAGCACUGUCUGCUGAAGUAAAGGCAGUAAUUAAGCAGCAGCUUGAAAGCGUCUCCAAUGGAUGGACUGUAUACCGAAUUGCCAGACAGGCAUCCCGAAUGGGUAAUCACGACAUGGCCAGAGAGCUUUAUCAGAGUUUGCUGACUCAGGUUGCCUCAGAACAUUUCUACUUCUGGCUGAAUAGUUUGAAAGAGUUCUCACAUGCAGAACAGUGUCUCACUGGGUUGCAAGAGGAGAAUUAUAGUUCAGCACUUUCUUGCAUUGCUGAGUCUUUAAAAUUCUACCACAAAGGGAUUGCUUCCUUAACGGCUGCCAGUACACCACUGAAUCCUUUAAGUUUUCAGUGUGAAUUUGUGAAGCUCAGGAUUGACCUUCUCCAAGCCUUCUCUCAACUUAUCUGUACUUGUAGUAGCCUCAAGACAAGCCCGCCACCUGCAAUUGCCACAACAAUUGCCAUGACCUUAGGGAAUGACCUCCAGCGGUGCGGUCGCAUCUCCAAUCAGAUGAAACUGUCCAUGGAAGAAUUCCGAAGCCUUGCUUCCCGAUAUGGGGAUCUUUAUCAGGCAUCUUUUGAUGCUGAUUCCGCAACUUUGAGGAAUGUAGAACUACAGCAGCAGAGCUGUUUACUGAUAUCUCAUGCAAUAGAAGCGCUGAUUUUGGAUCCAGAAUCAGCAAGUUUCCAGGAAUAUGGAUCUACAGGAGCAGCCCAUGCUGACAGUGAAUAUGAGAGAAGAAUGAUGUCUGUAUAUAAUCAUGUCUUGGAGGAGGUGGAAUCACUCAGUCGGAAAUAUACCCCUGUUUCUUAUAUGCAUACAGCAUGCCUCUGCAAUGCCAUCAUUUCUUUGCUGAAAGUUCCUCUUUCAUUUCAGAGAUAUUUUUUCCAGAAACUGCAGUCUACCAGCAUCAAGCUUGCCCUGUCACCAUCCCCCCGGAACCCUGCUGAACCCAUUGCUGUCCAGAAUAACCAGCAACUGGCGCUGAAGGUAGAGGGAGUGGUCCAGCACGGAUCUAAACCAGGACUCUUCCGCAAAAUUCAGUCUGUCUGUCUGAAUGUUUCUUCCACACUGCAGAGUAAAUCCGGACAAGACUACAAGAUACCCAUUGACAAUAUGACCAAUGAGAUGGAGCAGAGGGUUGAGCCUCAUAAUGAUUACUUCAGUACUCAAUUCCUGUUGAACUUUGCUAUCCUUGGCACACACAACAUUACAGUGGAGUCUUCUGUGAAAGAUGCCAACGGCAUCGUUUGGAAGACUGGUCCCAGAACCACCAUAUUUGUAAAAUCCCUGGAAGACCCUUAUUCGCAGCAGAUUCGCCUGCAGCAGCAGCAAGUCCAGCAGCCGUUACAACAGCAGCAGCAGCGAAAUGCCUACACGCGGUUUUAGCCGUGCAGCAGAGGCACUACAGACUUUCCAGGGACUGAGCAAAUUAGCGAAAAUAGUUUGCUUUUUCAUAUGGAUAAAGCACUUCGAAUGCAGUGUCCUUUCCUCCUCAGAGAGCCUCUUUUUGACAUAAGCAGAGACAGUUGGUUACCUACUACUUGGAAGCCAGAGAGGAACAAAAGAGCAUUUGGAAAAAAGAAACUACUGCUUCUGGCCAGGCCGUUGGAGGACACGAACCCCUCAAUGUCACGUUUCAAGGUAUCAGGGCAUUAGGGAGAAAUGACUGUAAUCACAGAAUCACUUAAGAUCAUAUCUAUCCUACUUCGUGGUUACAGUGUCCCCCGGGAUGCUCAAGAGAGUAUUAGCCCUGCCUGGAGUUGUCUCUCUCAGGGAGUGAGCACAUCUGGAAUCUCCUUGAGGGCCCUUGGUGCAGGAGGGGUCCCACGCGUCUGCCCCAAGCACCGCCUUCCCCUGCCUCUCUCCCCUGCAUGCUGACCAGGUUAGCUGAUGGAAAGCACUUUUCCUUCAUCCUAAGCACCAAGGUAACUCAGCUGACAUCACAGGGCACUGUAGCUCAGUCAGCAUUUGUCCAUUUGUUUGAGCAGGCAUUUGUGAGCUAGAUUUCUCAGAUCUGUGCAAAAGGCACAGCCAACAAGGACACAAACAAUUUUGGAAACAGGUGAUCUUUUAUUCUUCACCAAAUGUUGAUUGAACACGUACAGGGUACCAGGAACUGGGAAUACAAUCAUAGACAAGUUCCCUGGGUUCACGGCCAUGCCACUGCUUGUUUUUGCACAGGCUGUGGGAAACCCACCCUGGCCUUGAUUAUGCCAGGGGGGCCUUAGCUUCCUUGGUAGUUGAUCAUUUUCUCCAGUGAAAGGGGAGAGGAAUGUGUUUAGAUAGGACCAUCCAGAUCAGAGUCGCUGCUGUUUCCUGUGUGGCCUUUAGAAAAGCUCUCUCAGCCUGAGAGUCUUCUCCUUCGGUAUCUAACCAUCUUCCCAGUUCACUAAACCUUACCUUACAUCCCAGCUAAACCCCUCACGGCAGUCUUAACCUCCUGCUUCAAUUCUGUGUUUGAGGGGAUAGAAAGCUCCCCAAAGCCUUGGUCAUAGGGAAAUAGCUUUAAGCAGAAUGCAGUCGCCCCUGACCCCAGCUACACAACAUUGAAAAACCCAUCUGCCCCUCCAGACCCAGGAGAAACCCUGGCCCUGAUUCCUCCAACCAGACAUGGUGCUCCGUCUCCCUCUGUGAGCAGUAUCAAAUCCAGUCUCAUGUAUGUUCUGCUGCCUGACCCUUGGGGUUGGCAUGAAUGUGGACAAAUGGUGGCUAAAAUUACCAUGUCCUGUUAUGGGAACAAACACCUCUGUCCACUGUCCCACACCCCACGUCAGCCCCCUGGCUGUUCUCUGAGUCUCUGUUUACUCUCUUAACAUCUCUGUGAGCCUUGGCUUCUUCAUCUGUGAAAUGGGGCUAAUACCUGCCUAUUGAAGAGUUGUGAAGAUUAAAGGUAAUAAUACAUGCACAAAGCCGGCUACUGGCGGGUCCACCAAACGUUGGUUGCCUUCUGUGUCAGUGGUGGAGUGGCCAGCAUGGCCUGGUGGCCCAGAGAACACCGGGGAAAGAAACGUCAGCUUCAUAAAACUGUGAUGUUUCAGAUCAUCUCUGCCUUAAAGAUGAUGUCCCAGGUUUGAGGACUUAAAGGGACAAAAAUUGACAGCUGAGAGGAGGGGGGUGGUGAAGAGGUUAUGUUUUCUCUCGCCUCCUAAGUGUGUGUG
RNA transcript from Physeter macrocephalus (sperm whale), 4754 nucleotides. It is a transcript of the gene named integrator complex subunit 7, with no coding region annotated. Lineage: Eukaryota; Metazoa; Chordata; Mammalia; Artiodactyla; Physeteridae. The transcript has 22 exons. The record is from RefSeq and is a predicted model, not a curated record.